CAGCCGCCGCGGUAAUACGUAGGGUGCGAGCGUUAAUCAGAAUUACUGGGCGUAAAGCGUGCGCAGGCGGUUCGCUAAGACAGAUGUGAAAUCCCCGGGCUUAACCUGGGAACUGCAUUUGUGACUGGCGGGCUAGAGUAUGGCAGAGGGGGGUAGAAUUCCACGCGUAGCAGUGAAAUGCGUAGAGAUGUGGAGGAAUACCGAUGGCGAAGGCAGCCCCCUGGGCCAAUACUGACGCUCAUGCACGAAAGCGUGGGGAGCAAACAGGAUUAGAUACCCGCGUAGUCCCUGUCUCUUAUAC
This 301-nucleotide ribosomal RNA is filed under the name uncultured bacterium. RNAcentral's name for it is "partial 16S ribosomal RNA". It matches the Rfam family "Bacterial small subunit ribosomal RNA", at positions 509 to 807 of the family's 1533-position model. The record is from RNAcentral.